RNAcentral lists this ribosomal RNA (426 nucleotides) under uncultured Enterobacteriaceae bacterium. RNAcentral describes it as "bacterial SSU rRNA". It matches the Rfam family "Bacterial small subunit ribosomal RNA", at positions 355 to 774 of the family's 1533-position model. Lineage: Bacteria; Pseudomonadati; Pseudomonadota; Gammaproteobacteria; Enterobacterales; Enterobacteriaceae. The record is from RNAcentral.
UGGGGAAUAUUGCACAAUGGGCGCAAGCCUGAUGCAGCCAUGCCGCGUGUAUGAAGAAGGCCUUCGGGUUGUAAAGUACUUUCAGCGGGGAGGAAGGCGAUAAGGUUAAUAACCUCGUCUGAUGACUGUACCCGCAGAAGAAGCACCGGCUAACUCCGUGCCAGCAGCCGCGGUAAUACGGAGGGUGCAAGCGUUAAUCGGAAUUACUGGGCGUAAAGCGCACGCAGGCGGUCUGUCAAGUCGGAUGUGAAAUCCCCGGGCUCAACCUGGGAACUGCAUUCGAAACUGGCAGGCUGGAGUCUUGUAGAGGGGGUAGAAUUCCAGGUGUAGCGGUGAAAUUGCGUAGAGAUCUGGAGGAAUACCGGUGGCGAAGGCGGCCCCCUGGACAAAGACUGACGCUCAGGUGCGAAAGCGUGGGAGCAAACA